ACUACUUCAAGGUCUCAGAGCAAGUGACGUCACUGAUUGAAACGCUAUUUAGCGCCCACGCUAACUAAGCUAGCCGUUUCACAUCCGUUACAUGUACACCAAGGUAAUUAUUUGUCAUGCCUCAUUGUAGGAGGAUCAGCAGCUUAGCAGAGUCAGGCAGCCAGGGAAGACCAGUCUGUGACAGAGCCUAUCGGAUUUCCUGUUAUCAAGCUAUUGCCUGAUCUCCCAGACGACGUUAUUAGCCUUUUCCUUGCCUUUUUGGACCCCCUGUGUAUGACAUUCUGCCUGCCCCUGGACCCAGCUACCUGCUUCCUCCUGUGAUCCUUCACAAAUAAACAGCUGAUGCGCCCUGCGCUUGAAACCA
This is a long non-coding RNA of Oncorhynchus mykiss (rainbow trout), 364 nucleotides long. RefSeq lists it as uncharacterized. NCBI's taxonomy places the organism in Eukaryota, Metazoa, Chordata, Actinopteri, Salmoniformes, Salmonidae. The record is from RefSeq and is a predicted model, not a curated record.